RNAcentral lists this unclassified non-coding RNA (708 nucleotides) under Hevea brasiliensis (rubber tree). The record is from RNAcentral. Lineage: Eukaryota; Viridiplantae; Streptophyta; Magnoliopsida; Malpighiales; Euphorbiaceae.
GAAGAUGAAGAACAAUGCCAUUGUCUGCAACAUUGGUCACUUUGACAACGAAAUCGACAUGCAUGGUCUUGAAACCUUCCCUGGUGUGAAGAGGAUCACAAUCAAGCCACAAACCGACAGAUGGGUCUUCCCAGACACCAACAGUGGCAUCAUUGUGUUGGCCGAGGGUCGUCUCAUGAACUUGGGAUGUGCCACUGGACACCCCAGUUUUGUGAUGUCUUGCUCUUUCACUAACCAAGUCAUUGCCCAACUCGAGUUGUGGAAUGAGAGGAGCAGUGGCAAAUACGAGAAGAAGGUGUACGUCUUGCCAAAGCACCUUGACGAGAAGGUUGCUGCCCUUCAUCUUGGAAAGCUCGGAGCCAAGCUUACCAAACUCACCAAGGAUCAAGCUGACUACAUUAGCGUACCUGUUGAGGGUCCUUACAAGCCUGCUCACUACAGGUACUGAGGGGAAGAGACGCUCACAGUGGAACAACGAUACGGCGGCAUGAUUGUUUUGUUUUUAAUACUUUUAUUUUGUUUAGGUAGUGUGUUUUUAUUUUUGUUGGGGGAUAUUUUGCUGGAAAGUUGACCUAAAUGUGUUUGAAUAAUAUUUGAAUUAUGGUUGGGGUGGUGUCAUAUGAUAUUGUACCAAGUUAGAUUCAUUUGCUUUCUUGUUUCUAUAAAAUUUGCUUCAAGGAAACAAAGCAUCAUGUUUUUCAUUUUCAC